RNAcentral lists this ribosomal RNA (634 nucleotides) under Lacticaseibacillus casei. Its description in RNAcentral is "bacterial SSU rRNA". It matches the Rfam family "Bacterial small subunit ribosomal RNA", at positions 253 to 878 of the family's 1533-position model. The record is from RNAcentral. Lineage: Bacteria; Bacillati; Bacillota; Bacilli; Lactobacillales; Lactobacillaceae.
UGAGGUAACGGCUCACCAAGGCCACGAUGCAUAGCCGACCUGAGAGGGUGAUCGGCCACAUUGGGACUGAGACACGGCUCAAACUCAUACGGGAGGCAGCAGUAGGGAAUCUUCGGCAAUGGACGAAAGUGUGACCGAGCAACGCCGCGUGAGUGAAGAAGGUUUUCGGAUCGUAAAACUCUGUUGUUAGAGAAGAACAAGGAUGAGAGUAACUGUUCAUCCCUUGACGGUAUCUAACCAGAAAGCCACGGCUAAAUACGUGCCAGCAGCCGCGGUAAUAAGUAGGUGGCAAGCGUUGUCCGGAUUUAUUGGGCGUAAAGCGAGCGCAGGCGGUUUCUUAAGUCUGAUGUGAAAGCCCCCGGCUCAACCGGGGAGGGUCAUUGGAAACUGGGAGACUUGAGUGCAGAAGAGGAGAGUGGAAUUCCAUGUGUAGCGGUGAAAUGCGUAGAUAUAUGGAGGAACACCAGUGGCGAAGGCGGCUCUCUGGUCUGUAACUGACGCUGAGGCUCGAAAGCGUGGGGAGCAAACAGGAUUAGAUACCCUGGUAGUCCACGCCGUAAACGAUGAGUGCUAAGUGUUGGAGGGUUUCCGCCCUUCAGUGCUGCAGCUAACGCAUUAAGCAUUCCGCCCGGGG